Molecule: transfer RNA, 64 nt
Filed under: Elateroidea sp. 10 KM-2017
Lineage: Eukaryota; Metazoa; Arthropoda; Insecta; Coleoptera
Description: tRNA-Glu
Source: RNAcentral
AUUUAUAUAGUUUAAAUAAAACAUUACAGUUUCAUUGUAAAAUUAAAAUCAAUUUUUAUAAAUA